Molecule: transfer RNA, 63 nt
Filed under: Scolytinae sp. BMNH 1274291
Lineage: Eukaryota; Metazoa; Arthropoda; Insecta; Coleoptera; Curculionidae
Description: tRNA-Gly
Source: RNAcentral
ACUUAUAUAAUAUAAAAAUUAUAUUUGACUUCCAAUCAAAAAAUCUGUCCCACAGUUUAAGUA